RNAcentral lists this ribosomal RNA (513 nucleotides) under uncultured bacterium. RNAcentral's name for it is "bacterial SSU rRNA". It matches the Rfam family "Bacterial small subunit ribosomal RNA", at positions 17 to 518 of the family's 1533-position model. The record is from RNAcentral.
UUCUGGCUCAGGAUGAACGCUAGCUACAGGCUUAACACAUGCAAGUCGAGGGGCAUCAGGACGAUAGCUUGCUAUUGUCGCUGGCGACCGGCGCACGGGUGAGUAACGCGUAUCCAACCUGGCCCUUAGUAGGGAACAGCCCGGCGAAAGUCGGAUUAAUGCCCUAUGUUUUCCCAUGAGAGCAUUUGAAAGGGAAUAAAGAUUUAUCGCUAAGGGAUGGGGAUGCGUCUGAUUAGGUAGUAGGCGGGGUAACGGCCCACCUAGCCGACGAUCAGUAGGGGUUCUGAGAGGAAGGUCCCCCACAUUGGUACUGAGACACGGACCAAACUCCUACGGGAGGCAGCAGUGAGGAAUAUUGGUCAAUGGGCGAGAGCCUGAACCAGCCAAGUAGCCGUGCAGGAAGACGGCCCUAUGGGUUGUAAACUGCUUUUGUGCGGGAAUAAAGUCAGGGACGCGUCCCUGUUUGCAUGUACCGUACGAAUAAGGACCGGCUAAUUCCGUGCCAGCAGCGGC